CCUACGGGAGGCAGCAGUGGGGAAUAUUGGACAAUGGGCGCAAGCCUGAUCCAGCCAUGCCGCGUGAGUGAUGAAGGCCGUAGGGUUGUAAAGCUCUUUCACCGAUGAAGAUAAUGACGGUAGUCGGAGAAGAAGCCCCGGCUAACUUCGUGCCAGCAGCCGCGGUAAU
RNAcentral lists this ribosomal RNA (169 nucleotides) under uncultured bacterium. RNAcentral's name for it is "partial 16S ribosomal RNA". It matches the Rfam family "Bacterial small subunit ribosomal RNA", at positions 338 to 524 of the family's 1533-position model. The record is from RNAcentral.